CCUACGGGUGGCAGCAGUGGGGAAUAUUGGACAAUGGGCGAAAGCCUGAUCCAGCCAUGCCGCGUGUGUGAAGAAGGCCUUCGGGUUGUAAAGCACUUUCAGUGGGGAAGAAAGCCUUGGGGCUAAUACCCUCGAGGAAGGACAUCACCCACAGAAGAAGCACCGGCUAACUCCGUGCCAGCAGCCGCGGUAAUACGGAGGGUGCGAGCGUUAAUCGGAAUUACUGGGCGAAAGCGCGGGUAGGCGGUCUGAUAAGCCGGUUGUGAAAGCCCCGGGCUCAACCUGGGAACGGCAUCCGGAACUGUCGGGCUAGAGUGCAAGAGAGGAAGGUGGAAUGCCCGGUGUAGCGGUGAAAUGCGUAGAGAUCGGGAGGAAUACCGGUGGCGAAGGCGGCCUUCUGGAUUGACACUGACGCUGAGGUGCGAAAGCGUGGGGAGCAAACAGGAUUAGAUACCCGAGUAGUC
This 464-nucleotide ribosomal RNA is filed under the name Vreelandella stevensii. RNAcentral describes it as "partial 16S ribosomal RNA". It matches the Rfam family "Bacterial small subunit ribosomal RNA", at positions 338 to 795 of the family's 1533-position model. Lineage: Bacteria; Pseudomonadati; Pseudomonadota; Gammaproteobacteria; Oceanospirillales; Halomonadaceae. The record is from RNAcentral.